Long non-coding RNA from Oryzias melastigma (Indian medaka), 1086 nucleotides. RefSeq lists it as uncharacterized. NCBI's taxonomy places the organism in Eukaryota, Metazoa, Chordata, Actinopteri, Beloniformes, Adrianichthyidae. The transcript has 3 exons. The record is from RefSeq and is a predicted model, not a curated record.
CUCCCACGUAAGAACCCAAUUUGCUCUCAAAAGACCUGCAAACGUAAGACAAGAAAACCAAAACGUGGAUGAAAAAAAAUGGGCCAAAUCAAACAACUUUUAAAGAUCGCAAAUACUAAGCUAGCUAGCAAGACAAACAACUGGAUCCAUUGUACUUCUGCCUUUCCUAAACCCACUCUGAUGUUGAGAGAAGAGUGUUUUACUUUAAAGGUGCACUGAUCUGAGCGGAGGUGUUCCCUACUGACGGAGGAUGUCCUCAGAAUGUGACACUGUAAUUAAUGCUUAUCUGCUGAAAUCCUUUCCAGUGAAAAUGUGUUAACAAACGCAUCACUGAGUGAAGGAAUGUUUUAAAUGAAACCAAAGCAAAAUAACUAGAAACAGACAUCGGAAUUAUUCCACUCGCUUAGUGGUCAAACACUUGGAUUAUAAAAUAUUUUCAGUCGGUUUGUGUUCUUAAGUGCCUAAAUUUGAAUCCCAUGGAUCAGUUUACACUCUCCCUGAUUAUAAAGUCAUCACCAGCUUCUUAUUUGCUUUUUUGCACAAUCAGAAACUUCUUUGUAUUCACUCUUUUGCUGUUAUAUAUAUAUAUAUAUAUGAAUUUCCUCAUUCAUAAUUGUGUUGAUUUAACACUGAGGGGCCAGCUGUUGGUUUUAAAGUGAUGUCUUAAAGUCCAUGGAGCAGCGCAUCUUAAAUUUAAAUCCAGAAGUACUAAAUAUUGCCAAACACGCUGCAGUUUACCGACUAUUCAUUAUUUUGGAAACACAAUGUUGAAGUGUCUGCAUGUGACACAUUGUUUCUCCUGUUUCAUAUUCUCUUUCGAGCAUGCUCUGCCUUACCGCAUGUUUCCUCCAUGUACUUUGCAUCAAAAUGUCUAUUUUUACACAGUUUACUUUUGUGCCAUCAAACCCCCCUUGCUUUAAAAUGUAGUUUUAAGUUAAAAGUUUCUGUAGGAAAAGGUUCUUUUUCAUUAAUUCAUCUUCUUCUUCCCUUUCGGGGUCGCGGGGUGCUGGAGCCUAUCCCGGCUACUGAUGGGCGAAGGCGGGGUACACCCUGGACAGGUCUCCAGUCUGUCUCAGGGCCUCAACC